AUUGAACGCUGGCGGCAGGCCUAACACACGCAAGUCGAACGGUAACAGGAAGAAGCUUGCUUCUUUGCUGACGAGUGGCGGACGGGUGAGUAAUGUCUGGGAAACUGCCUGAUGGAGGGGGAUAACUACUGGAAACGGUAGCUAAUACCGCAUAACGUCGCAAGACCAAAGAGGGGGACCUUCGGGCCUCUUGCCAUCGGAUGUGCCCAGAUGGGAUUAGCUAGUAGGUGGGGUAACGGCUCACCUAGGCGACGAUCCCUAGCUGGUCUGAGAGGAUGACCAGCCACACUGGAACUGAGACACGGUCCAGACUCCUACGGGAGGCAGCAGUGGGGAAUAUUGCACAAUGGGCGCAAGCCUGAUGCAGCCAUGCCGCGUGUAUGAAGAAGGCCUUCGGGUUGUAAAGUACUUUCAGCGGGGAGGAAGGGAGUAAAGUUAAUACCUUUACUCAUUGACGUUACCCGCAGAAGAAGCACCGGCUAACUCCGUG
RNAcentral lists this ribosomal RNA (490 nucleotides) under uncultured bacterium. RNAcentral describes it as "partial 16S ribosomal RNA". It matches the Rfam family "Bacterial small subunit ribosomal RNA", at positions 30 to 507 of the family's 1533-position model. The record is from RNAcentral.